Molecule: long non-coding RNA, 1284 nt
Organism: Solenopsis invicta (red fire ant)
Lineage: Eukaryota; Metazoa; Arthropoda; Insecta; Hymenoptera; Formicidae
Exons: 3
Source: RefSeq, a predicted model, not a curated record
GGCAUCUUUAUCUUUGUCUAAUGUUGCGCGCGCAUCAAGCUGAAUGGAGCUGAGUGGGGAGGUAUCGUAUUGAGACUAUUGAGGGGAAGUUUAUCUUUCAACAUGGUUGUAGCUGGUUGUAGUAAAAAUUUAUUAAUCUUGCAUAUAAUUUUUAUGCAUUUAUUCUGACUUCGAAUCAUCAUUCGAUACUUUCUCUCUCGUUUGAUUUUUGGAGACACCACUCUUAGAGGAAGUCCGCAGCUACAUGACUAAAGAAAACAAGAAAUUUAAUAAGCAAAGUGCUGUGACAUAAUAGAGAAUAAAAUGACAAAUACGUUUGUUGUGUGCAAAAAACAAUCUAUUCCGUUUAAUACAUCUCGAAGUUUUCACAAAUUUUCUGUUAAUGUUGAAAUGAAAAAGAAAUGGAUGGAAGCUAUUGGUGUGACAACGGUUUGUAAGACACCCGCAUAUGUAGCGACCACUUCCAUGAAGAUUCAUUUCAUCAGACUGAUGGAUACACAACUUUGAGACGUUUAGUAUCAACUGCUGUCUCUUUUAAUCGAAACGGUCAAUUAUCUUCACCAAUCAACAACGUACCUACUUAAAUACUUGAUGACAUAACGAAUCAUCAAGAUACGACAAUAAGUGUCGAAAAUACAUUUUCAACAAAUACGAAUACUAGUGGCUUUGAGACACAUAAUCAUUUAAGUCCCAGAAAUGGUAUUAAAAGAAAAUUAUCUGUCGUCGACAUUCACCCAACAAAAUUUCGUUUUAUGGUCGGAACUCAGUCAGAGUCUUUUUCAAGAAAGCACUUUGCUUCAGAUGAAGCUUGGGAGCGAUUUGUAAGAGUUAUGGCUACUGAAAAAUCUAAAAAAUCUGCUAUCCAUAUGAAGUUAACUAGAAAAGAAAAAAUAAAUACUAAUAUAAAAGAACUAAUCAAAACCAUCAAGGAGAAACAGUUUUCUAAAGCUGCUGAAUGUUUACAGGUAAAUUUGUAAUUAUAUGUUGCAGUGCAGUUUCAAUAUACAUUUCAAUCAUAUAUUAUGUAAUGGAAAAAUUCAUAUAAUUUUUUCCUGUAAUAUUAUUUAAUAUUAAUAACUAUAAUUAAUUUUAAUUAAAUAAUUACAGUUAAAUAUAAGUAUAAAUAUAAUUAAUAUACAUAAUUAAAUAUAAAUUGUAAUUAUAUUUCAAUCAAUUGUAUUUUUAUGUUUAAUUGUUUUUAUAUAAAAUAUACUUUGUACUAUAAUUGAACCAUAAAGUGUGUAAUUAUGAGAGAAAUUUAAAUAUACAAUCAUUAGCAUCAUA